Long non-coding RNA from Canis lupus familiaris (dog), 1358 nucleotides. RefSeq lists it as uncharacterized. NCBI's taxonomy places the organism in Eukaryota, Metazoa, Chordata, Mammalia, Carnivora, Canidae. The record is from RefSeq and is a predicted model, not a curated record. The transcript is spliced from 4 exons.
UGAGUUCUCCAUUCUCCCUGCACCUGCACGUCACCACCCCGUCCGGUCAGCUUGUGCCAUGACUGCAUAACCUUUUCUUAGCACCCCUUUGAGCAGGGCAACCCCAGAGGACAAGGCAGCUGCAUGGCACACUCCUGGCGGAAAGAAUCCGCGUCUUCCGAGGGGUGGGGGCGGCCUUUGGGAUUCGCAAGGCGGCCCAGAGCGAGCCCCCAAGCCCUGGGGCGUGGACAGGCCGUUUCACACGGAUACCUGGGGCUCUAAGGAACCGAAUGAAAUAAAGCUCUUUAACUCCACUUGCCUAACACGGGGCCCUGAGAGCCGGUGCAGCCUCGCUUGAGGUUACAGGACGGAGCCCACACUUGCCUCUUUCCUGUGUCUGCCUCCGAGCCGCCUCGCCCUACCCCAGGCCCUUGAAAAGAAACUUAGGGUUGCCUAGAAGAGACAGACCCCAUGAAAACCAGUUGUUUGCCCCCGUGGACAGGUCGCCACCCGCAUCAAGCGGCUCUCCAUCAAGGGUUUGCCAAGGGUCUGAGACUUGCCACCUUCUUCCCUCCCGCCUGCCCCAAUCCGUGCAGGUGGUUGGGUUACCUCCUACUGAGGGAGAGCCCACUUGGCUGAAUUGCAGGCAUUGGUUUGAGAAGCCAUCUGCUAAAGCUGCCAGAGAAAAAUGCGACGGAAAGGAACUGAAGUCAAGUAAGCAACCAAGGCAGCCGGAUCCCUUCAGAGAAUCAGAAAUGCUUCAAAGGCCAUACUCUAGGAAAUUGCCUAAAAGCCACAAGGCCACAGCAACCAACAGCGUGAAAUCUCAACUACAUCAAACUGUAGCCUACGGAGAAGCACUGUCAGAGGCUUGAGACAGGAGGCCGGUCCGUGUGGCCUUCAGCUGGGAGAAGCCACGUUUGAAGGAUCAUAGGGGAUCACGCCCAGGACGUGAUGGUAAGGGUGACUCCCACCGGCUGGGAGCACAGCUUUGGUGCUGCCACCACCAUCGAACUAGUCCCGGUCAACAUCUUCCACCGUUUGCUGAGUGGAAGAAGCCGGUCACACCUGCAUGGUUCUAUUUAUGUGAACUGCUGGAGCAAGCAAAACCUAUCUGUGCACUAGAAGGUCGAUGAGUGGCUUCCUGGGGCAGGUGCUGGUGAUGGAAACGGGCAGCGCGGGGACGCAAGCGAUGGAAGAGAGGGCUGGAAAUGCUCUGUGCCUCCCGUGGGUGUACCUCAUAGACGUUUGGCAAAAGCCGUUGACUUGUAUGAAUAAAAUGUAUGAAAUUUUGCUGCAGGCAAAUGGUUCCUUAAUACAUUGGUCAAAAAUAAUAAAAUUAUUAAAAGCACUUACAUCAUAUCCCUAUUAUUGAACAG